Anolis carolinensis (green anole) is the source of this 1038-nucleotide long non-coding RNA. RefSeq lists it as uncharacterized. The record is from RefSeq and is a predicted model, not a curated record. Lineage: Eukaryota; Metazoa; Chordata; Lepidosauria; Squamata; Anolidae. The transcript has 3 exons.
AUCUUGAACCAGUCCGUUGUUCCAUGGUCUAUUCUUACUGGCCUAACAUAUGGUUAAACUUUUUAUUUGCAUAAGUUCAUUUUUGCAGACUAAAAAGCAUCGUCUCAGGAGCCAAAAGUUCCAACCACUUUAAGUCCAAAAUAGGAACUGCUGCUGAGACCAUGUAAAAUAGCAGAUGUAGUUUCAAGAUAAAGUAGAUCCUCAUAAGAAGUAGGAAGAGGAAAAAUACACAAAAAUAAGAGAUCUUCUUCUGCUCUUGAAAUUGAGAAAGUGGGAAAUUGGCAUGGAAAGAAGAGAGAUGAGAGCUUCUUUCUCCAUUCUGAAAUGCCACUUGUCGUGAGAUGUGUUUCCCUGCUGGGAGAUCCAGAGUAGCACAGCCAUUCCCUGAGAAUUCACCCGAUGCCUGGAGAUACUAUCAAUGGAAGAUUGGAUACUGAAGUUCUUUGAAAUGGCAGAAAUGGACAAAUUGCCUGCUUUGAUCAGAGAGAAGUCUUUGGAUAAUUUUUUUAAAAGGCUGAGAACCUUUUUUGACAUUUAUGAAGAUGAGAGAAGGAGAAAAGAACACUUGUGGGUUUAAAAUAUUAAUUUUUUUCUUACAUAGUUAUUAGGUGGAAGUUUAACUUUUUAAAAAUAGAAUAGAAGAAGCAAGUGAUAUUACUUUAUGUCAUUGGCUUGGAAUGUGGGAAGUAUACUUUUAAUAUCUUUUCUUUUGGGCGGGGAUUAUUUGAUAGUUCAUAGUAGAUAGUUUAUAGGGGAUUUUAUGUAUUUUGUGUAAGUGUUCCUUCUUAUUUUAUUAUAUCUAUAGGUUUUUCCUUUCUCUUUUAUAUGUAGAUUCUAAUAUGUAGUGUUUAUUCCUCUUCUAUAUGUGUUACAUUAUUUAAUAAAGAUGCUAACAAAAAAAGAUAGAAUUCAGUCAAUGCCUUGAGACCUGGCAACGCUAAGCACAAGUGAAAGUUUAUGCAGACAGUAGAGAGUUACUUCAAAAUGAGGGAGUAUUCUCUUCAAGGAAAAUGAGAAUAAAACCAGAAUAAAAUGGGA